UGAAACUCCAAUCCUUUGGCCACCUGAUGUGAAGAACCAACUCACUGGAAUAGACCCUGAUGCUGGGAAAGACUUAGGCAGGAGAAGAAGGGGACAAUAGAGGAUGAGAUGGUUGGCUGUCAUCACCAAUGUGAUGGACAUGAGUUUGAAUAGGCUCUGGGAGUUGAUGAUGGACAUGGAAGCCUAGCGUGCUGCAGUCCAUGGGGUCACAAAGAGUCGGACAUUACUGAGUGUCUGAACUGAACUGAACUGAUACAAUAUAUGCUGGAUGUUGUGGUGGGAGCUGAGGGUUCUAGGAGUCAGUAUAACAUGGCCCCAGUCAUCAACGAGGUCUGGGUCUUCCAAGGUGCUCAGCUAUACAAUGGACUCUGUAGUUGUUCUACGUACCUGAUGUUAUCAAAGUCAAAGUAACUUGCUGAAUAAUAUGACAUAUCUGAAUAUGUAUGAAUUUACUACCUUGCUAUAGGAAAUGUGCAUAAUCUUCUUGGCUAAUAUCAGUUGAAUGCCUUCUCUGUGGCAGGUUCUGAAAUAAGGUAUUUUCUGGCAGAAUCAGCCCACUAGAGUUGGUAACUUUAUUUCUUCUGUUUUAAUAAGAAGUUAAGUAUCUUUUCCUAGAUCACCCAGCUAGAAAGUGGUUACAAAUACAGGGAGCUUGUUGUCAAAGCUUUGUGUUGAACCACUACCCUUUCUCUCUUUCUAAUGCAUAUGCAUAUAUGUAUGCAUACAUUCAUCUAUCUGAUGUCUUGACAUACGGAGAUAAGAGCACACAAUUUAGAGACAGGUGGAUUCGUGUCUCAUUUAGAUUCUGCCAGGCUUGACUGACUUCAAGAAAAUCAUGUAAUGUCUCUAACUCUGGAUUACUUCAUCUAUAAAACUGGGGCAAAACAUCUAACAGGUUAAAAUGAGAUGCCACUUAAAAAAAGUGGUUUGUAAAAGACAUACCACUAGAAAUAGUAUUUUGUCUGAUCAUAGUUAUUACAGUCUUAAUUCUAGCACUCCCUCUAGAUUCCCUUUAACUUCAUUCUUAUCAUAUAACUCAAACUGAGCAACUUCUUACCAUCUCCUUUGCUUCUCUAGUUGCUCUUUUAUCUCUCAAAGAAAGCAGAAAUGGUCUCCAAACUGGCCUUCCUAUGCCUCUCUUGCCCCAUUUGCUUUGCAUUAUAAAUCAGGUCAUGUCUAGCUUCCUACUGCUCUAAGAGAAAAUUUUACAUUCCAUACUGUCACCUAGAAAUCCUCUGUUAUUAUCUGGCCUGGUUCUUACACUCUUAUCUUCCAGGUUCUCACAUCUCAGGCCUUACCACUCUCCCCUGCUCACUGUACUCAAUCACACAGACUGAAGUUUUUUAACAGGUCAAAUUUAUACCUUGCAAGCCUAAAAGAUGAUGCUACUAAAGAGCUGCACUCAAUAUGCCAGCAAAUUUGAAAAACUCAGCAGUGGCCACGGG
Molecule: long non-coding RNA, 1445 nt
Filed under: Capra hircus (goat)
Lineage: Eukaryota; Metazoa; Chordata; Mammalia; Artiodactyla; Bovidae
Description: lncRNA (ENSCHIG00010005596.1)
Source: RNAcentral